UUUUGUUAUCCCGCUGUGGACGGAGGAAGUUAGAGGCUGUGACUGAGUAAGGAAGCCAGCUACUUUUGAAACGACCAGCUCCAUAAUUCCUACUGAUAUUUAUCAGGUCCGUUGAAUUCAAUGCGUUAAUCAUUUUAAUCUGUAAUGUGUAGGAGUCCAAUAACGUUUUAACUUUAUUUUUUUUUACACUGCAGAGUAUGGCGGUCCUUCCCAUUUAUAUGUCAGCCUGCCUUAGCUGCUGUGCGCGCGCAGCCACCAUUUCUCGAAUGCAAGACAGUGACAGACUGUUUAGGUUGUCAUGAUCAUGAUCGCUCAUCACUGUGUUGUUGAUUUUGAUCAUUCUCUUGCAGAGAUUAUUUUUUUUAAAUGGAGGUCCGUGAUUCCAGAUACUCGUCACGAUUUCUCAAACCAAAAACUCAUGUAUAAAUCAGGAAAAAAUAUUUUUUUUAAAUGAACUUCCAAGAAAUAAAUCUGUAGGUCCUUAGAAGCCAGUGCAUUGUUGUCAGUGUUGUUUUUUUAGCAGUUCUGCAAAUUCUGCAACAUUGCUGUGACAGCUAGUGUGAACUGUAUAUUUGCCAUUACUAUUUUAAAAUGUAUUAAUUUAUUUGGAACAGGGCUUAGAUCUGAAUAAAUGCUGUGUUGGUA
Oryzias latipes (Japanese medaka) is the source of this 645-nucleotide long non-coding RNA. RefSeq lists it as uncharacterized. The record is from RefSeq and is a predicted model, not a curated record. Lineage: Eukaryota; Metazoa; Chordata; Actinopteri; Beloniformes; Adrianichthyidae.